GCCCAGUAGUUUCAGAGGAGAAGAUUUUUGUAAAAGAUUACUUUAAUUUACGAAAAAUGGUUAAAAAUUGACUAUAAAGGGCAAUAACUCCUAAACGGGUCAACUGACCAUUUUGGUCAUGUUGACUUAUUUGUAAAUCUUACUUUGCUGAACAUUAUUGCUGUUUACAGUUUAUCUCUAUCUAUAAUAAUAUUCAAGAUAAUAACCAAAAACAGCAAAAUUUCCUCAAAAUUACCAAU
Molecule: long non-coding RNA, 239 nt
Filed under: Mytilus galloprovincialis (Mediterranean mussel)
Lineage: Eukaryota; Metazoa; Mollusca; Bivalvia; Mytilida; Mytilidae
Source: RNAcentral